RNAcentral lists this ribosomal RNA (440 nucleotides) under uncultured bacterium. RNAcentral's name for it is "partial 16S ribosomal RNA". It matches the Rfam family "Bacterial small subunit ribosomal RNA", at positions 338 to 795 of the family's 1533-position model. The record is from RNAcentral.
CCUACGGGGGGCAGCAGUGGGGAAUAUUGCACAAUGGGGGAAACCCUGAUGCAGCGACGCCGCGUGAGUGAUGACGUAUUUCGGUACGUAAAGCUCUAUCUUCAGGGACGAUAAUGACGGUACCUGAGGAGGAAGCCACGGCUAACUACGUGCCAGCAGCCGCGGUAAUACGUAGGUGGCGAGCGUUGUCCGGAUUUACUGGGCGUAAAGGGAGCGUAGGCGGCCUUGUAAGUGUGAAGUGAAAUCCCAUGGCUUAACCAUAGUGCUGCAUUGGAAACUGUGAGGCUAGAGUGCAGGAGAGGAGAAUGGAAUUCCUAGUGUAGCGGUGAAAUGCGUAGAGAUUAGGAAGAACACCAGUGGCGAAGGCGAUUUUCUGGACUGUAACUGACGUUGAGGCUCGAAAGCGUGGGGAGCAAACAGGAUUAGAUACCCGAGUAGUC